RNAcentral lists this ribosomal RNA (427 nucleotides) under uncultured bacterium. RNAcentral's name for it is "bacterial SSU rRNA". It matches the Rfam family "Bacterial small subunit ribosomal RNA", at positions 608 to 1029 of the family's 1533-position model. The record is from RNAcentral.
CUUAACUGUGGAAUUGCCUUUGAAGCUGUAUGGCUUGAGGACAGGAGAGGCGAGUGGAAUUCCUGGUGUAGCGGUGAAAUGCGUAGAUAUCAGGAGGAAUGCCAGAGGCGAAGGCGACUCGCUGGACUGUUCCUGACGCUCAGGCCCGAAAGCCAGGGUAGCGAACGGGAUUAGAUACCCCGGUAGUCCUGGCCGUAAACGAUGGGCACUAGACAUCUCCUGAUUUUGAGGAGGUGUUGCAGUUAACGCAUUAAGUGCCCCGCCUGGGGAGUACGGUUUCAAGGUUGAAACUCAAAGGAAUUGACGGGGGCCUGCACAAGCGGUGGAGCAUGUGGUUCAAUUCGAUGAUACGCGAAGAACCUUACCUAGGCUUGAACUGCUGGUAGUACCUACCUGAAAAGGAUAGGGAGCCUGCUUGCAGGAAGCC